GCCCCCAUAGCUCAAUGGAUUAGAGUAAUGGUCUUCGGAACCAGUGAUGGAGGUUCGAAUCCUCCUGGGGGCA
This 73-nucleotide transfer RNA is filed under the name Patescibacteria group bacterium. RNAcentral's name for it is "tRNA-Arg". It matches the Rfam family "tRNA". From Rfam's summary of the family: Transfer RNA (tRNA) molecules are approximately 80 nucleotides in length. Their secondary structure includes four short double-helical elements and three loops (D, anti-codon, and T loops). RNAcentral also lists the same sequence under 1 other name. The record is from RNAcentral.